UACGGGGGGGGCAAGCGUUGCUCGGAAUUACUGGGCGUAAAGGGCGCGUAGGCGGCUCACUAAGUCGGAUGUGAAAUCUCCUGGCUCAACUGGGAGCUUGCAGGCGAAACUGCCGUGCUGGAGUGUGGGAGAGGUGCGUGGAAUUCCUGGUGUAGCGGUGAAAUGCGUAGAUAUCAGGAGGAACACCUGUGGCGAAAGCGGCGCACUGGACCACAACUGACGCUGAGGCGCGAAAGCUAGGGGAGCAAACAGG
Molecule: ribosomal RNA, 253 nt
Filed under: uncultured bacterium
Lineage: Bacteria
Description: partial 16S ribosomal RNA
Rfam family: Bacterial small subunit ribosomal RNA
Source: RNAcentral